GUGGGGAAUAUUGCGCAAUGGAGGCAACUCUGACGCAGCCAUGCCGCGUGCAGGAAGAAGGCGCUACGCGUUGUAAACUGCUUUUAACCGGGAAGAAACCCCAGGACGUGUCCUGGGUUGACGGUACCGGAGGAAUAAGCACCGGCUAACUUCGUGCCAGCAGCCGCGGUAAUACGAAGGGUGCAAGCGUUAUCCGGAUUCAUUGGGUUUAAAGGGUGCGUAGGCGGAGCGUUAAGUCAGUGGUGAAAUCCUGCAGCUUAACUGUAGACUUGCCAUUGAUACUGGCGCUCUUGAGUGCGCUUGAAGUGGGCGGAAUGUGCCGUGUAGCGGUGAAAUGCUUAGAUAUGGCACAGAACACCAAUUGCGAAGGCAGCUCACUAAGGCGAUACUGACGCUGAGGCACGAAAGCGUGGGGAUCGAACAGGAUUAGAUACCCGUGUAGUCC
RNAcentral lists this ribosomal RNA (445 nucleotides) under uncultured bacterium. Its description in RNAcentral is "partial 16S ribosomal RNA". It matches the Rfam family "Bacterial small subunit ribosomal RNA", at positions 354 to 796 of the family's 1533-position model. The record is from RNAcentral.